Molecule: ribosomal RNA, 157 nt
Filed under: uncultured Alkaliflexus sp.
Lineage: Bacteria; Pseudomonadati; Bacteroidota; Bacteroidia; Marinilabiliales; Marinilabiliaceae
Description: partial 16S ribosomal RNA
Rfam family: Bacterial small subunit ribosomal RNA
Source: RNAcentral
AAUGGCCGGUACAAAGGGCAGCUACUUCGCGAGAAGAUGCUAAAUCUCGAAAAGCCGGUACUCAGUUCGGAUCGAAGUCUGCAACCCGACUUCGUGAAGCUGGAUUCGCUAGUAAUCGCGCAUCAGCCAUGGCGCGGUGAAUACGUUCCCGGGCCUU